This is a long non-coding RNA of Brienomyrus brachyistius, 1065 nucleotides long. RefSeq lists it as uncharacterized. NCBI's taxonomy places the organism in Eukaryota, Metazoa, Chordata, Actinopteri, Osteoglossiformes, Mormyridae. The transcript is spliced from 3 exons. The record is from RefSeq and is a predicted model, not a curated record.
CCGUAACAAUUACUACGGUUCAAGAUUCUUUAAUUGUACAUACAAAGUACAACACGUACUUAAAUGCAUCCUGAACCACUCUUUUUUUUGACUGUGCAAGUUAAAAAUCCAAUUAUGUAAACUAGUUAAAGUGCAAAAAACUCAAAUGCAAGCUAAAAAUGCAAGCAGAGACGUAUGUUCAAAAUGAACGGUAACAUCGAUAUUAAAAAAGUGACCAGUGUGACAGUGCGGAUAUGGUGAUGGGUACAAGAGCAGAGUGUACAUCAGGGUGUGAGGUGCAGUGACAUGUCCAGGUUCAGAAGCCUUAUGGCCUGGGGGUACAAGAGCACAGUGUACAUCAGGGUGUGAGGUGCAGUGACAUGUCCAGGUUCAGAAGCCUUAUGGCCUGGGGGUACAAGAGCACAGUGUACAUCAGGGUGUGAGGUGCAGUGACAUGUCCAGGUUCAGAAGCCUUAUGGCCUGGGGGUACAAGAGCACAGUGUACAUCAGGGUGUGAGGUGCAGUGACAUGUCCAGGUUCAGAAGCCUUAUGGCCUGGGGGUAGAAACGCCUCCUAAGCCUCUCAGUCCUGGCCAUGAUGUUCCAGAGUCUCUCUCCUGAUUUCAGAAGCUAAAACAGGCUGUUAUUGGGGUGGGAUGUGUCCUUCAUGAUCCUGAAGGCCCUGCUGCUACAUUUCUUGAUGUGAAUGUCCUGAAGAGAUGGAAGUUCUGCUGCACGGAUCACCCUCUGGAGCGCUUUUCGAUCCUGAACGUAGCUAUUCCCGAACCAGGAAGUAAUGUUCCGAGUCAGGAUGCUCUCCUCAGCGCCUGAGUAGAAAGUCCGUAGGAUCAUUGGAGGGACCCUGAACUUCCUCAGCUGUCACAGGUGGUACAGGUGCUGCUUAGCCCUUUUGGACUGGACCUGGAUGUGAACAGCCCACGUCAGGUCCUCAGAAAUGUGGACACCCAGAUAUUUAAAACUCCUCAACUUCUCCACAGGAGAUCCAUUGAUGGUGAGGGUAGUGUAGGCCCUCUGUUGCCUCCUACUGAAGUCCACCACCAGCUCCUUUGUCUUGUCGACAUUCAGC